GGAACUGACGGGAAUGACCGUUUGAACCGAUCCCUUUCCGAAAGAACGCGUCCCGACGACGACGGCGCGUUUAUGAUCCUGCAAAGCGCCCGCGACAAUUUCGGCCGCCGAAGCGGAGCCUUCGUUGAUCAAAACGACAAUGGGAAUGUUUUUGGUGAUAUCGCCUUUUGUCGCGCUGUAACGCUGGAUUUCUUCGGGGCGGCGGGGGCGCGUGGAAACGAUCUCUCCUUCGUCAAGGAACAAAUCCGUGACGGAAACGGCCUGAUCCAAUAAUCCGCCCGGGUUGUUGCGC
Molecule: non-coding RNA, 292 nt
Filed under: chicken gut metagenome
Source: RNAcentral